Molecule: long non-coding RNA, 569 nt
Filed under: Elaeis guineensis (African oil palm)
Lineage: Eukaryota; Viridiplantae; Streptophyta; Magnoliopsida; Arecales; Arecaceae
Description: long non-coding RNA (EGUI_LNC025878)
Source: RNAcentral
GGUUGCGUAUUCUUGGUGCAACUGAACCACUGUGAUCAGUCGAGAACAAUUAACAUCAAUACCACGCCUGUACAUCUACAACGGUGGAAGACCUAUAGACUUAAUAUUUAUAGGUAGGUUUAGGUUUAGGUCUCAUCUAAUCAGUUAUCAUGUGAUCAAUCUAAUUGGUAUGGGCUAAAUCAAAUCACCAAACAACCUUAUUCAAGAUUUAAUCUUCCAAAUUGGUCAGAUAAGUGGAGAUCGGUGGGGUUCCCCCAUUGCUUUUCUUAGACACCAAUAAUUUGGUCAGAUAAGCGAAUGGAACCAAUUAAAUAACCAUCUAUCAAUUACUUGCCUUAGACAUCAAUAGGUCAAUUAGUCCAAAUAGGUUAGUUUAAGUGAAUCGGGCUCAAGCCAUCGAGCCGAAUUAGGUCCUUAAGUUACUUGAUUCUACAUAUGGGAUUUAAUCAAUUUGAUUAACAACAAUUGCAUAAUCUUAAACUUAAUUGACCUAAUCUUAAUCAAUACUUGAUUCGGUUUGAUCAAUUACUUAAUCUAAUUAGAUCUAAUGUGUUCAAAUGAAAAAUCCU